Molecule: RNA transcript, 1907 nt
Organism: Eleginops maclovinus (Patagonian blennie)
Lineage: Eukaryota; Metazoa; Chordata; Actinopteri; Perciformes; Eleginopidae
Exons: 2
Source: RefSeq, a predicted model, not a curated record
UCUAGCGACUUUUCCGGUGCUGUUACAAACACUUCUGGUUUGGAGACUCGGACGUGAAAGCACGUCAUCACUGCUGUUUCCACCGAGCAGCGGUGCUGCCGUGAGCCCCUCGCCCCCGUCCCUACAGCCCCCACCGGCGGUGUCACGGAGCUGUGCCCGCUAUGAGACCCGCUCCACGCCGCUGACACCCCCACCACACCCGUCUUAGAGCGACAUACACAGCCUCAGUCACUACUCACCUCAUCUACUGUGAUGACACGAUCUGUGACACAAUCCUUGGCCAUGCCAAAGCCAGGUUCUCCUUCACCAGCCACCUUGUGAGUGCCGUGCUGCUAGAGGCAGAGCUGUUUGACCGGCAUCGGACAACAUUCCCUGAAGAGGCUCUGAAUACCACCGUGAGGGCAUACCCCAUGCUACACAAGGAGAGGCUCAGGACUGAGCUUUCUCUCAUCUACGAAAGUCCAGACUUCAGGGGCUGCUGCGGUGCACUGGCUCUGUACCAGGUUCUACAGAGCUACAACCUCCAGGAAACCUUCUCUGAGACUGUGGCGCUGUUGAACAUCCUCAUAACCACUCCGAUGACAACAGCUGAAGCUGAGAGGUGUUUCUCCACCUUAAAGAGGAUCAAGACAUUCCUGAGAAAUACAAUGGGACAGGAACGUCUGAAUGCAUUGGGCAUGCUUUCCAUGGAAAGAGAGCUGGUCAGGAACAUGCCUGAUUUCAACGAGAGGGUGAUUGAUCGCUUUGCUUGCUUGAAAGAGAGGCGAGCUAAAUUUCAAUACAAGUGAUGAGUGAGUGUGUUCUUAAAUGGUGAGUUGUGUUAUGUUGUACUCUCCAAAUGUUGAAUUGUAAAUAGUUGUAUUGAUUGCAUAUUGCCAGCCAAAUACAGUUAUGUUCAUAAUAAUAGCAGUGUGUUUAAAAAGGUGACCGCUUCAUUACAUGUAUUUUUUUUAACAAUGGGACUUUGCGGGGGCUUCUUGGUGGUAGCUUGGCUUCACAUAGACGUUGUCUGAUUGUUACAGUACUCACAGGCAAUCUUAGAUCUUCUCUGAUCCUCCUGGAGCUGAUCAUUGGCUGAUCCUUUGCCAUUUUGGUUAUUCUCCGAUCCCUUCGAAUAGUUGUUUUUCUUUUUCUUCCUCACCUGGUGGUGAUGGUUUUGGCUGCCAUUUUAAAGCGUUUGAUAUCAUUUUAGCUGAACAGCCUAUCAUUUUCUGCACUUCUUUAUAGGUUUUCCCCUCUUUUAUUAAUUUCUUAAUCAAAGAAUGCUCUUCUUCUUAACAGUGUCUUAAACAACCCGUUUUACUCUGUUUUUCAAGGACAAAUGCACAGCCAGCAUAUGCAGCAUCAGUUGCCUUGAUCCUUGAAUAGGGGCCAUCUGUUUAACACCUAUUUUUUUUCACAUAAUCAAUGACCUCAAUAGUUGAACCUGGCACUGCUAUUUUUUUGAACACGCCCCUUUCAGUAAAUGAUUCAGUUUCACAGAAUCAGCAGCAUGCACGUCAUGCCUGUUGGGUCUGUUGGUUUUCUAUACCUUUACUAAACCUGUAAACUGUAUAGUGGUAAAUGGAAUAUGUUCUGGAAAAUUUUGAUUAAUUACAGUUUUGAUUAUAGUAUAAUUUGAUUUGAUUAUUGCUAUGGCAUCCAUGAUGGCUAUAAAUUGUAGACUGUGCUAAAAGUGAUUUCAAGGGCAAACUAUUAGAUGACAAACUAUCUGUUAAUGUGUGUUUUAUUGUGGAACCAAAUGUAUUGUAUAUUUUAUGUCUGGGGUUGCAUCUAGUGGUUGAAAACCAAAUUAAACAAUGAGAUGUGACACUGUAAAGCUGGCUAUCUGACUUUUAUUUAUUAUUAUUUUACCCAUUGAAUGGGUCAUCUUAGCCAUCAUCACAACUUUUGCCCCCCCUGAGAAA